This is a long non-coding RNA of Pteropus alecto (black flying fox), 4180 nucleotides long. RefSeq lists it as uncharacterized. The record is from RefSeq and is a predicted model, not a curated record. The transcript is spliced from 4 exons. NCBI's taxonomy places the organism in Eukaryota, Metazoa, Chordata, Mammalia, Chiroptera, Pteropodidae.
UGCCGACAGGCGGUAGAGUCCGGGUGAGGACCUGAACCAGUACCACCUCGGGUACCUCCAUAUCUCUUUCGAGAUGCUUCCUCAGUCUUCUUCCCAUUUAAUUUUCACCAUAUUUCUCAGAAGUAAGGAAGUCAGAGUGUCUAUUUUACAGUUGAUCACUCCAGGCUGGACAGACAGCUCUGCUUCACACCAUCUUUCAGUGCAGCCUGGACAAAACGCAUGGAGCAGCUCCUUGAGGACCUUGAAAAGAAAACAGUAAUAGGCAUAUUGGGGAAGAAGGUAAGAAGAGUUUGAAGCACCAAUGAAAAUAGUGGCCAAAAUCCGCAACAUUUUGGUUCCCUGACCGGGAAACCCAACUGAACUGACCCUUUGAAGCCACUGGUUUGGGCACAACGCCGAGACACUGGUCAGCCGAGGCAACUGAGGAACUAGAAGGUGCGGUCUUGGGCCCGGCUGCACUCGGCCAGCCCUGCUCCAUUGUUUCCCCCGGAAACUGAGUGGUGAAAACAAGGAAAUUCGGCAGAUCCACAUCGGACACGGUAAGGCCGCGCCGCCCACGGUAGACAGGCCUACCUUAAGGGUGGAAGGGGAGACUGAUCACGUCCCAGGGGCAAGCGCCCCUCAGGCAGGGACCACCAGGGAGGGAAUGUUUUAACCUCUGAGAGCAUGUGUGUCUUUGUGGAUCUCAGAGACCUGUCUCUGAGUUUCCAGACUGUGGCCCCACGGUGAAAAAUUACGGGGUCUGAAAGGGCCCCAACCUGCGGUUCUGUAGCGAUGUCAUAAGGCAUAAUGGUGAUUCGUCCCUCUGGGGAACGACCAGGCCCAGGGUUUAUACGGAUACACCUUAGCCAAGACGCGUGGAAAAUCUCGAGAGAGACAUGGCCAUGUGGGCAUCUGAGUGGUCUCUAAAAAGGGACACCCCCACCCUUUGUUUUUACGGUACCAACACAGUGGGAAACAUGGGGUCAGGUCAGAGUGAGACAACAGUCCUUGAGACUAUGUUAAAGAAUUUCAAGAAAGGUAUUUACCUCAGAGGUGGUUAUUACUGAACAGGUGAAAAGAGGCAAACUGAAGGAAUAAAGAAAGUGAAAGAAGGUUUGCGGAAGUAGUAGAAGGUCUGUGAAGGGAAAUCGAGAGGAAAUUUUGUGAAGGGAAAGUGUAGAAGGUUUGUGAAGAAAUUCUGAAAGGGAAUUUUAUGUAAUAAAGUGAAACAAGGUUGGAAAUUUAAACGCCGAGAGCAAGCUGAUGCAAAAAAAACCCCAAAAAACUAGAAUUGUUUUUAACGCUCUUUAGACUAUUGGUGUGAUGCAAAUGUUUUGAAAAGGUCCUCUGGGAAGAAAACUAGGAUUCUGUAUUUAUUCAAAAUAAUUUUAGUGUUUUGCGCUGCUUUAACUAGGUUUCUAGGACUUUAGAGAAUAUAUUAACACUGGCCUCUGUGCCUACUUCUCAAAGGAAGCUCCCUGAAAAUAUGGGGGGAGUUCCACUAAGCCAACUGUCUUAGAUUGUAUGUUGGAAAAUUUUAAGGAGGGUUUCUCUGAGGAGUAUAGGGUCAUGCUGACCUUAGAAAAACUUCGUAUUCUUUGUGAGCUUGAAUGGCCUGCUUUAGGGGUAGGUUGGCCUUCAGAAGAGACCUUAGACCUCCCCACAGUGAGAGCAGUGUAUCGGGUAGUGACAGGGACCCCAGGAUAUCUAGACCAAGUUCCGUAUAUAGACACAUGGCUGCAGACUGCUACUAUAGUGCUCCCUUGGGUCCAGUUUGGCACAAAUAGCCAGGGACAGAAUAGGGCAUUUGUGGCCCGCCUGGCUAAGCGAAAGGACAAGGAGGUUCCAACAAAAUUAAUUCACCCAGGGGCCCUAGGGAAGAUUCUAUCUAAUGACCACUGUACAUCCCAGUAGCUCUCUCAGUCCCCACGAGGCCAAUUUAGUAUCAAUUGCCAGACAGACCUCUACAUCAGUGCCUUUGCUGCCCCCUACUGCCCCAGAGCCCUGGCCCAACACCAUGCCUACCAUCUCGUUCAAGUUCGACUUGAUAAUAGAAAAGCCCGAAGAACAGUGGUGGAGUACCCAGAAACAAGAUGGCCAGGUUAGAAUGAUUCCUGACCCUUUUGUUAGAAAGCUCGUGUAGUGUUUUCCACUACAGGGAAAACAUCGUGAAAAGUCUAAAUUAGAGGUAAAGGCUGGGGCUAGGAAGUCAACAAGUGUGUCGAAAACAGCAGAGCUACACCAGGAGGUAACUGACAAACAGGGAAAGCAGAAGGUGUCCCUGUUGGCAACUGCAUUAGGGAACCCAGGUUUAGUGCAACAGACGGCUGCUCCCACAUGGCAGAAAGAAACCCAAAGGAAAUUACACCGUAACCAAUGUGCCUUCUGUAGAGACAUCGGCCGUUGGAAGAACAAGUGCCCUCAUCGCAGGGAAACUGUCAGUCCAAAAAGGCCAGAGAAUUUAAGACAUCAUCAACCUGAGCCAGUUGUCAAAGAAGACUGGGCCAAAGGAUAAUCAGACUAGGAAUAGUUGCAGCAUAAGUAGGAGGGCCAAUCAAUGAUUUGUAUAGUGGACACUCAACACCGUAGCCAUGAUCAAACAUCAAAAAGGAGUCAGUAAGAUUUGCAGGGCAGCUGAAUUCUGUCAGUUCUGAGUGCUAAGUUUAAAUGUAAAGGUUCCCCAUACCGUAAUUCCAUUAAUGAAUAAUCGAGAACAUAAGCAGCUGACCAAUGCCAGAGUAACUUAUUAUCAGGGACUGCUGUGCAAAAACCAUGAGUCCGUCUCAAAACUGUAACUACAUUAAACCCUGCAGACUGCCUUGGUGCCAGAGGUCUUUAAGGUGUCCAGUAACUGGGACUGGGCAGAGAAGGAAGCAAAGUACAAAAGAGCGCCAAUUUUAGCUGCCAUAAUACAGGGACCAUCUUGAGGUGACCUUAGGCAGUAAAAACCUUGCAGGCCUGGAGGGCCUCGAUUGUGGUUGGCCACAAGUGGCAUUGCUGGGACUGAGACAUAAUCAAUGUGCAAACUGCAAAAGAAAGGGCACUGAAAGGGCAAGUGUCCACCCAGUCCUGGGAAGCCGGGGAGUGGUGGACCUCAUAAGCGCUUGCCCUACAUAGCAAGUCUCUCACGAAGGGGUUGCUCUCUUCUCCAACAACGGAGGCCCAAGCACUUGCAAGCUCCAGUCCUAGAAAAAUCUGCCAGGAUCACAACAGUAGAACCUCAGAUCCCCUUUGACUUGGCAAAAAGAAAAAACUGAAUUUUUACUAGAUACUAGAGCUGCCUACUCUGUCCUGACCCUUCCCAUAGGUCUCUCUCUCCAAUGCUAACUGUACAAUGACAGGAAUAAACAGUCAGUCUAACGUAAAUUUCCUUUCCCAUUGUGAGACCAGGAUUAGCAAUGAAGUUCUCUGCCACACAUUAGGACCAGGGUCCUGUGCAGAAAGUGCCUUGUCUGAGAAACUAGGACACAGCCUAAAAGGCGAUCAGUCCCCUUGCCCACCACAUAAUGCACGUUUGUAGGGAACCUAAGGCUAAACUAUUCGCAGACAACCCACCUCUAUGUCAGGGUUUCCUACUAGCUGGCCAACUACCUCCCAGCAAUCUGUUAAAAGCCAGCCUUUGAGGCAAACAGAAAGGGCCCCACCCAAAUCUUAGGAAGGAUAAGGCCUAUGCUUUCUUUAAAGUGUCUACUAUAAUACCAGCAAAAAAUGUGUAACAUUUACUAAGUGUGCUAACUAAUGUUUUAACAUCUCAGAUAAUAUGACAUUGAACUACAGCUCCACUACUUCUGUAAGUUAUGCAAAUUACUCACUAGAUAGUUUCUUAUUAAUGAAAGAACUAUUUAUUAUGUUAAAACCAAAGCCAAGGGAAGAAUUUUCUUACAGCAACAAAGCAAUCAACUUCAUCUGAAGCUAGUCUCAGAUACGAGACCUAUCAAAAGAGGGAGGAAAUGAAAUGGGACAUCUCUUGCAGAGUUAAUCUGUUUAGUAAAGGUAGUUAAGUUUUCUUCUCUCCUUUCUUUAUAGGAAAAAAGCCCUCUCCCUCAAAUCCUGAUAAUUGCCCAAAACUGGUAACUCAGAUCCUCUGGCUAUUGAUAAGGGUCAUCAGCCCAUGGUUAAGCAGAAAUGGUGUUCUGACAGGCAGGGCCCUUGAAGUCUGAGUGGGAGGGGGCUUUAGGCCAAAGGUCUUUUUACUCUU